RNAcentral lists this ribosomal RNA (253 nucleotides) under uncultured bacterium. Its description in RNAcentral is "partial 16S ribosomal RNA". It matches the Rfam family "Bacterial small subunit ribosomal RNA", at positions 524 to 776 of the family's 1533-position model. The record is from RNAcentral.
UACGUAGGGCGCAAGCGUUGUCCGGAAUUAUUGGGCGUAAAGAGCUCGUAGGCGGUCUGUCGCGUCGGAUGUGAAAGCCCGGGGCUUAACCCCGGGUCUGCAUUCGAUACGGGCAGAUUAGAGUGUGGUAGGGGAGAUCGGAAUUCCUGGUGUAGCGGUGAAAUGCGCAGAUAUCAGGAGGAACACCGGUGGCGAAGGCGGAUCUCUGGGCCAUUACUGACGCUGAGGAGCGAAAGCGUGGGGAGCGAACAGG